RNAcentral lists this ribosomal RNA (305 nucleotides) under uncultured bacterium. Its description in RNAcentral is "bacterial SSU rRNA". It matches the Rfam family "Bacterial small subunit ribosomal RNA", at positions 335 to 656 of the family's 1533-position model. The record is from RNAcentral.
AUUCCUACGGGAGGCAGCAGUGGGGGAUAUUGCACAAUGGGGGAAACCCUGAUGCAGCGACGCCGCGUGUGGGAAGACGGUCCUCUGGAUUGUAAACCACUGUCCCCAGGGACGAAAAUGACGGUACCUGGGGAGGAAGCUCCGGCUAACUACGUGCCAGCAGCCGCGGUAAUACGUAGGGAGCGAGCGUUAUCCGGAAUUAUUGGGUGUAAAGGGUGCGUAGACGGAAGAACAAGUUGGUUGUGAAAUCCCUCGGCUCAACUGAGGAACUGCAACCAAAACUAUUCUCCUUGAGUGUCGGAGAG